GGGCAGGAUAUGUGAAGUAGGCCCACCCGCAGGCGGGUCGUCCUUCUUCACGAAGCCCUUUCGUCCUUCUUCACGAAGCC
Candidatus Accumulibacter is the source of this 80-nucleotide regulatory RNA element. It matches the Rfam family "traJ-II RNA". The record is from Rfam. NCBI's taxonomy places the organism in Bacteria, Pseudomonadati, Pseudomonadota, Betaproteobacteria.